RNAcentral lists this ribosomal RNA (425 nucleotides) under uncultured bacterium. RNAcentral describes it as "bacterial SSU rRNA". It matches the Rfam family "Bacterial small subunit ribosomal RNA", at positions 359 to 776 of the family's 1533-position model. The record is from RNAcentral.
GAAUAUUGGACAAUGGGGGCAACCCUGAUCCAGCGACGCCGCGUGGGUGAAGAAGGCCUGCGGGUUGUAAAGCCCUUUCGGUGGGGAAGAAAAGCCUCGACCUAAUACGUCGGGGUCUUGACGUAACCCACAAAAGAAGCACCGGCUAACUCUGUGCCAGCAGCCGCGGUAAUACAGAGGGUGCGAGCGUUAAUCGGAAUUACUGGGCGUAAAGCGCACGUAGGCGGCUUGUUAAGUCAGAUGUGAAAUCCCCGGGCUCAACCUGGGAAUGGCAUUUGAGACUGGCAGGCUAGAGUGUGGUAGAGGUGAGUGGAAUUUCAGGUGUAGCGGUGAAAUGCGUAGAGAUCUGAAGGAACAUCAGUGGCGAAGGCGACUCACUGGGCCAUUACUGACGCUGAGGUGCGAAAGCGUGGGUAGCAAACAGG